Long non-coding RNA from Mustela erminea (ermine), 238 nucleotides. RefSeq lists it as uncharacterized. The transcript is spliced from 3 exons. NCBI's taxonomy places the organism in Eukaryota, Metazoa, Chordata, Mammalia, Carnivora, Mustelidae. The record is from RefSeq and is a predicted model, not a curated record.
CUCUGCUUCUGGCAUCUGAGCUGAGCUGUUGACCCACACGCUGGAUGCUGCGGGCGGAAACUAAAAUGAUUACAUCUUGCUUACCGUGCUCAGCCUCCGCGAGAGAGCUGGGCGGGGAGGAGGAGGCGCCCCCGGAAGGACCGGCAGAUGAAGAAAUAGAGGUUCAGAGGGCUUCAGGACUUGUCCCAGGUCCCUCAGGGACCGUGGCAGGAUUUGACCCCCAGCGGGUGUCUCCGGG